RNAcentral lists this ribosomal RNA (274 nucleotides) under uncultured bacterium. RNAcentral describes it as "partial 16S ribosomal RNA". It matches the Rfam family "Bacterial small subunit ribosomal RNA", at positions 1102 to 1382 of the family's 1533-position model. The record is from RNAcentral.
CCCUUGUCUUUAGUUGCUACGCAAGAGCACUCUAGAGAGACUGCCGGUGACAAACCGGAGGAAGGUGGGGAUGACGUCAAGUCCUCAUGGCCCUUAUGGGUAGGGCUUCACACGUCAUACAAUGGUGCGUACAGAGGGUUGCCAACCCGCGAGGGGGAGCYAAUCCCAGAAAACGCAUCGUAGUCCGGAUCGUAGUCUGCAACUCGACUACGUGAAGCUGGAAUCGCUAGUAAUCGCGGAUCAGCAUGCCGCGGUGAAUACGUUCCCGGGUCUU